Molecule: ribosomal RNA, 253 nt
Filed under: uncultured bacterium
Lineage: Bacteria
Description: partial 16S ribosomal RNA
Rfam family: Bacterial small subunit ribosomal RNA
Source: RNAcentral
UACAGAGGUCCCAACCGUUGUUCGGAUUCAUUGGGCGUAAAGGGUGCGUAGGUGGCGAGGUUAGUCAGGUGUGAAAUCUCGGGGCUCAACCCCGAAACUGCACUUGAUACUGCCUUGCUAGAGUACUGGAGAGGAGAUUGGAAUUUACGGUGUAGCAGUGAAAUGCGUAGAUAUCGUAAGGAAGACCAGUGGCGAAGGCGAAUCUCUGGACAGUUACUGACACUGAGGCACGAAGGCCAGGGGAGCAAACGGG